Non-coding RNA from Sinocyclocheilus anshuiensis, 509 nucleotides. Lineage: Eukaryota; Metazoa; Chordata; Actinopteri; Cypriniformes; Cyprinidae. The record is from the annotation of a RefSeq genome assembly.
CUGACCUAGUCAACAUGGAAAAACACCUGCUUCUCAUUUUAAUUCUGACUUCAGGUGUGAUGACUGCAGACCAGAUUAGGCCAAAUAAAGAUGCUGUUGUCAUAAAGGAAGACGAGACUGUGACCCUCAGCUGCUCAUAUGAUACAAGCAGCAGUUAUGUUAGACUUUAUUGGUACAGACAGUAUCCUAAAGGGGAGCUUCGCUAUUUAAUAUACAAGGCUGCACGGUCGAGUGGUGGAAGUGGGAGCCCCUCUGAUCCUCGCUUUCAGUCGACUACAUCACACACAUCCACUGAACUCACUAUUACUGGUGUAACUCUGUCAGAUUCAGCUCUCUAUUAUUGUGCUUUAAGAGUUGGAGCCCAGUGGUACAAAGUCAAUGUGAAGCUGUACAAAAACUCUAAUCAAUUUUUCCCUUUUAAUGUCAAGCCACAUCACACCCACAAUCUAGAAUUCUCAGAAUAUAACUACACUUGUGGAAACACCUGUGUGUUGUUACUGAAAGGGUAA